ACUCACCAGGUCAGGACACGGUAAGGAUUGACGGACUGAAGGCUCUUUCUCGAUUCCGUGGAAAGUGGUGCAAUGGCCGUUUUUGGUUGGUGGAUCGAUCCGUCUGGUUAAUUCCGUUAACGAACGAGACCUCGGCACUCCGAAUAGCGCGGCGGACGUCGCGGCCUCCGGGACCGUCUUCCGCACCGAGCUUCUUAGAGGGACCGUCCCCCGCCGGGGAAGGAGGUGCGAGGCAACGACAGGUCUGUGAUGCCCUUAGAUGUUCUGGGCCGCACGCGCAUUACACUGACGCGUCCAACGGGUGACUCCCGACCCGAAGGGGCCGGGGAAUCCGCAAGGCGCGUCGUGAUGGGGAUUGAACGUUGCAAUUGUUGUUCACGAACGAGGAAUUCCUAGUAGGCGCGGGUCAUCAACCCGCGCCGA
RNAcentral lists this ribosomal RNA (423 nucleotides) under uncultured eukaryote. RNAcentral describes it as "bacterial SSU rRNA". It matches the Rfam family "Eukaryotic small subunit ribosomal RNA", at positions 1213 to 1644 of the family's 1831-position model. The record is from RNAcentral.